RNAcentral lists this transfer RNA (72 nucleotides) under Edolisoma coerulescens. RNAcentral's name for it is "tRNA-Glu". The record is from RNAcentral. Lineage: Eukaryota; Metazoa; Chordata; Aves; Passeriformes; Campephagidae.
GUUCCUGUAGUUAAAUCUUAAUAACAGUGAUUUUUCAGGUCACAGAUCUUGGAGAAAAACCAAGUAGGAAUU